UACGUAGGGCGCAAGCGUUGUCCGGAAUUAUUGGGCGUAAAGAGCUCGUAGGCGGCUUGUCACGUCGGGUGUGAAAGCCCGGGGCUUAACCCCGGGUCUGCAUUCGAUACGGGCUAGCUAGAGUGUGGUAGGGGAGAUCGGAAUUCCUGGUGUAGCGGUGAAAUGCGCAGAUAUCAGGAGGAACACCGGUGGCGAAGGCGGAUCUCUGGGCCGUAACUGACGCUGAGGAGCGAAAGUGUGGGGAGCGAACAGG
Molecule: ribosomal RNA, 253 nt
Filed under: uncultured bacterium
Lineage: Bacteria
Description: partial 16S ribosomal RNA
Rfam family: Bacterial small subunit ribosomal RNA
Source: RNAcentral